RNAcentral lists this ribosomal RNA (460 nucleotides) under uncultured bacterium. RNAcentral describes it as "partial 16S ribosomal RNA". It matches the Rfam family "Bacterial small subunit ribosomal RNA", at positions 338 to 795 of the family's 1533-position model. The record is from RNAcentral.
CCUACGGGUGGCAGCAGUGAGGAAUAUUGGUCAAUGGACGAGAGUCUGAACCAGCCAAGUAGCGUGAAGGAUGACUGCCCUAUGGGUUGUAAACUUCUUUUAUAUGGGAAUAAAAUGUUCCACGUGUGGGACUUUGUAUGUACCAUAUGAAUAAGGAUCGGCUAACUCCGUUCCAGCAGCCGCGGUAAUACGGAGGAUCCGAGCGUUAUCCGGAUUUAAUGGGUUUAAAGGGAGCGUAGGGGGAUUGUUAAGUCAGUUGUGAAAGUUUGCGGCUCAACCGUAAAAUUGCAGUUGAAACUGGCAGUCGUGAGUGCAGUAGAGGUGAGCGGAAUUCGUGGUGUAGCGGUGAAAUGCUUAGAUAUCACGAAGAACUCCGAUUGUGAAGGCAGCUCACUGGACUGCAACUGACACUGAGGAGCGAAAGUGUGGGUAUCAAACAGGAUUAGAUACCCUAGUAGUC